GUCUAUGGCCGUACCACCCUGAAUGUUCCUGAUUUCAGAAGCUAAGCAGGGUCAGGCCUGGUUAGUACAUGGAUGUGAAAUUGUUUAUUUAUUAGAGAGAGAAAGAGGCAGAGGUA
This 116-nucleotide ribosomal RNA is filed under the name Jaculus jaculus (lesser Egyptian jerboa). Lineage: Eukaryota; Metazoa; Chordata; Mammalia; Rodentia; Dipodidae. The record is from RNAcentral.